RNAcentral lists this ribosomal RNA (196 nucleotides) under uncultured bacterium. RNAcentral's name for it is "partial 16S ribosomal RNA". It matches the Rfam family "Bacterial small subunit ribosomal RNA", at positions 1306 to 1500 of the family's 1533-position model. The record is from RNAcentral.
UGCAACUCGCCUACACGAAGUCGGAAUCGCUAGUAAUCGCGGAUCAGCAUGCCGCGGUGAAUACGUUCCCGGGCCUUGUACACACCGCCUGUCACACCAUGGGAGUUUGUAACGCCCAAAGUCGGUGGCCUAACCUUUAUGGAGGGAGCCGCCUAAGGCGGGACAGAUGACUGGGGUGAAGUCGUAACAAGGUAUC